CCUACGGGUGGCAGCAGUAGGGAAUUUUCGGCAAUGGGGGGAACCCUGACCGAGCAACGCCGCGUGAACGAAGAAGUUAUUCGUAAUGUAAAGUUCUUUUAACAGGGAAGAAAGAGAAAUUUGACGGUACCUGAAGAAUAAGCUCCGGCUAACUACGUGCCAGCAGCCGCGGUAAUACGUAGGGAGCGAGCGUUAGCCGGAAUUAUUGGGCGAAAGGGGUGCGUAGAUGGGAUAGUAAGUCUUUUGUAAAAAUGCUGGGCUCAACCCAGUAGGGCAAAAGAUACUGCAAAGCUAGAGUAUGACAGAGGCAAGUGGAACUACAUGUGUAGCGGUGAAAUGCGUAGAUAUAUGUAAGAACCCCAGUGGCGAAGGCGGCUUGCUGGGUCGAUACUGACAUUGAGGCACGAAAGCGUGGGGAGCAAACAGGAUUAGAUACCCGAGUAGUC
This 446-nucleotide ribosomal RNA is filed under the name uncultured bacterium. Its description in RNAcentral is "partial 16S ribosomal RNA". It matches the Rfam family "Bacterial small subunit ribosomal RNA", at positions 338 to 795 of the family's 1533-position model. The record is from RNAcentral.